This 336-nucleotide long non-coding RNA is filed under the name Gossypium raimondii (Peruvian cotton). RNAcentral's name for it is "long non-coding RNA (GRAI_LNC006205)". Lineage: Eukaryota; Viridiplantae; Streptophyta; Magnoliopsida; Malvales; Malvaceae. The record is from RNAcentral.
AAUCCAAACAAUAUUCAUCUAGACUAUCCAUAGUAUAUGCACAUGUUAAAGACAAGAAAUCGACUUCAGAGGGAAAAAGUUGAAAGAUUAAGUUUGUAAUAUACGGGCCAAGUAUUAGUGGUGGAUUAGAGCGCAAAACAACAUGAAAGUUCCGUACAAACUGAUAUCCUAAAUUAACUUUAAAUCCAGAAUGCAUACACCACACACAAAAAAAAAAACAAUUCAGUUUUAGUUAAAACAUAUGACAAAUCAUUUCGACUAAAAAAACUUAAAGCUAAAAAUUGAUGAAUAUAUCUCAAAGUGAGUUCAUGCACCAAUAAGUCCUUAGAGGUCUUU